This 66-nucleotide transfer RNA is filed under the name bovine gut metagenome. It matches the Rfam family "tRNA". Rfam says of the family: Transfer RNA (tRNA) molecules are approximately 80 nucleotides in length. Their secondary structure includes four short double-helical elements and three loops (D, anti-codon, and T loops). The record is from RNAcentral.
GGGGUAGAGCAGUGGUAGCUCGUCGGGCUCAUAACCCGGAGGUCGUUGGUUCAAAUCCUUCCCCCG